UACGUAGGAUGCAAGCGUUGUCCGGAAUUACUGGGCGUAAAGAGCGCGCAGGCGGCACUCUAAGUUGGGCGUGAAAUCUCUCGGCUUAACCGGGAGGGGUCGUCCAAAACUGGAGAGCUAACGAGGGUAGGAGAGGAAAGUGGAAUUCCCGGUGUAGUGGUGAAAUGCGUAGAUAUCGGGAGGAACACCUGUGGCGAAGGCGACUUUCUGGCCUACUCCUGACGCUGAGGCGCGAAGGCUAGGGGAGCGAACGGG
RNAcentral lists this ribosomal RNA (255 nucleotides) under uncultured bacterium. Its description in RNAcentral is "partial 16S ribosomal RNA". It matches the Rfam family "Bacterial small subunit ribosomal RNA", at positions 524 to 776 of the family's 1533-position model. The record is from RNAcentral.